CUGAAAAAUGGACUGCUCAGUAAUACUCACUUUAUUUUAUGUGCACCGCAGAUAACUACGUUAAAGUGUAGAUAACAUGUGUACAGUAAGAGUGAGACCUAUCAGCUAGUUGUUAAGGUAAUGGCUUAACAAGGCAGUGACGGGUAACGGUAUUACUUUGUAAUAUUCCGGAGAAGGAGCCUGAGAGACGGCUACUAAGUCUAAGGAUUGCAGCAGGGGCGAAACUUGACCUAUGGAUUUUAUCUGAGGCAGUUAUGGGAAGUAAUAUA
RNAcentral lists this ribosomal RNA (269 nucleotides) under Vairimorpha bombi. RNAcentral's name for it is "Nosema bombi partial small subunit ribosomal RNA". It matches the Rfam family "Microsporidia small subunit ribosomal RNA", at positions 72 to 343 of the family's 1311-position model. The record is from RNAcentral. Lineage: Eukaryota; Fungi; Microsporidia; Nosematidae.